UUAGAGUUUGAUCCUGGCUCAGAUUGAACGCUGGCGGCAGGCCUAACACAUGCAAGUCGAGCGGAUGAAGGUAGCUUGCUAUCUGAUUCAGCGGCGGACGGGUGAGUAAUGCCUAGGAAUCUGCCUGGUAGUGGGGGACAACGUUUCGAAAGGAACGCUAAUACCGCAUACGUCCUACGGGAGAAAGUGGGGGAUCUUCGGACCUCACGCUAUCAGAUGAGCCUAGGUACGAUUAGCUAGUUGGUGAGGUAAAGGCUCACCAAGGCGACGAUCGUUAACUGGUCUGAGAGGAUGAUCAGUCACACUGGAACUGAGACACGGUCCAGACUCCUACGGGAGGCAGCAGUGGGGAAUAUUGGACAAUGGGCGAAAGCCUGAUCCAGCCAUGCCGCGUGUGUGAAGAAGGUCUUCGGAUUGUAAAGCACUUUAAGUUGGGAGGAAGGGCAGUAAGUUAAUACCUUGCUGUUUUGACGUUACCAACAGAAUAAGCACCGGCUAACUUCGUGCCAGCAGCCGCGGUAAUACGAAGGGUGCAAGCGUUAAUCGGAAUUACUGGGCGUAAAGCGCGCGUAGGUGGUUUUGUAAGUUGGAGGUGAAAUCCCCGGGCUCAACCUGGGAACUGCCUCCAAAACUGCAUGACUAGAGUACGGUAGAGGGUGGUGGAAUUUCCUGUGUAGCGGUGAAAUGCGUAGAUAUAGGAAGGAACAACAGUGGCGAAGGCGACCACCUGGACUGAUACUGACACUGAGGUGCGAAAGCGUGGGGAGCAAACAGGAU
RNAcentral lists this ribosomal RNA (777 nucleotides) under uncultured bacterium. RNAcentral's name for it is "bacterial SSU rRNA". It matches the Rfam family "Bacterial small subunit ribosomal RNA", at positions 1 to 778 of the family's 1533-position model. The record is from RNAcentral.